ACCAGCAGGGAAGGAUCUCUUCUGGAGGUUCCCUUCUCUGGAGUUUCAUAGUGAGCCCAGGAUAUGGAUCACAUUUUACUGAAUCAGUGAAAAUGAAAAAGGAAGGUGAGAUACUGGAUGGAGCCUCUGGCUGCUGCGUUCCAAAAUACAGGGUGACAGGUAAUUUGGAAGGACUAACGGAUAGGAGUCAGGCCUGGCUGGAAGAUAUUCUGUAUGAACAAGAUUCUUUGAGGAAAACCAAUCAAGAACAGAAACUUCAUUAAAAUUACAGGCUUUUUUCAUCAGUCCCCUUCACAGCUGUCUUACUCAAAGGGUACGAGAAUGAUAGCUGACCUUCUGGAUAUAAAAAUGACAUUUAAAAAUAUGAAUAAAGUACAAAUUAAUCCAGUCAUAAAAGGAAAAUACAGUAUAUCAUUUCUUUGUCUUUGGUAUUACUGUUUUGCAGUGAUAACCUGUCCCAGUUGAAAUCACUAUUGAUUUUAACUCGUCUAAAUGUGCCAUUUCCUGACAUCAGAAAAAAAAACUGACUGAAGUGCUUAAAGUGUCUAUUGUGAGACUCUAUUUUUGGAAACUAUGCAAAUAGGUUUUCUAAAGCAUUCUAAUCCAAAGCUUACAUAUUCUGGGCUUUAUUUUUGUAAUUGCUGUAAGUAGCUUUCCCACACUGUAGUGACUUGGAUGUACAUUUGGGAAAUGGGAAGGACAGAUUUGAAUUUGUGCAGGCUGAGAACAAAAGCGUUGUGUUUUCUUAUGGUUUUGAACAGAUAGCCUAAUUGGUGAGUUGUUUUGAAAAAAGUCAGGUAUCAUCAAUGAGCUGAGUUUCUGGAAAAGUAAGCCCCAGUUGACUAAGAGCUUGAUUCAGAAAUGGAUUCCAAUUUACAGAGCCAACCUGUAUAGAGGUACUUAAUAUGCCACACUGACCCUGGUACAUUUGGUGUGGUUUUAGGCUCAUUGCUGUGAUCAUGGUAUUUUAUUUGUUGGAACUGGGCUCCACUCACUGAAGUGUUUUUAUGGGCCAGUCUACUGAGUUUCUUGUUUGUCUUUAAGGGAAUCUGGGUGCCUAUGCAUAACUCCCUGGGUCAUUAUCUUAGAAUCAAUCACCUAUGAUUUUGCUGCUGCCUAAAUUAGAAAUACUUUUCUUCCUUUCUUUUCAUCCUGAUACCUUUGGCUUUAAGGAAUUUAAUUUGGUCACUGUUUACUAUUACUUUCAUUGCUCCCGAAAGAUCUUUCAGGUACUGGUACUCUAGCAAAUGCUGGAAACAAGUGGAGUCAGCUAUGAAAACAGCCACCUCAAGGUAACUGCAUUGUGACCUAACAGACAGAAGAAGUAGGGAAAAUUUAGAGUGAUGAAAGGUGAUCUUACACAUCAGGUAAACAGUUUCUUGGAUAACC
Molecule: long non-coding RNA, 1389 nt
Organism: Tympanuchus pallidicinctus (lesser prairie-chicken)
Lineage: Eukaryota; Metazoa; Chordata; Aves; Galliformes; Phasianidae
Exons: 3
Source: RefSeq, a predicted model, not a curated record